AGCUUUGCACAGUGACAGUAUCGUAGCCAGUGAGGUUUAUCCGAGGCGCGAUUAUUGCUAAUUGAAAGACAGUCCAUGACAAUGUCUCCAACAAUCCAGAACUUUGUCAACAUCGCACCUUCCAGAACAUUCCAUAGAUG
Molecule: small nuclear RNA, 140 nt
Organism: Neomonachus schauinslandi (Hawaiian monk seal)
Lineage: Eukaryota; Metazoa; Chordata; Mammalia; Carnivora; Phocidae
Product: U4 spliceosomal RNA
Exons: 1
Source: RefSeq, a predicted model, not a curated record